RNAcentral lists this ribosomal RNA (368 nucleotides) under uncultured bacterium. RNAcentral's name for it is "bacterial SSU rRNA". It matches the Rfam family "Bacterial small subunit ribosomal RNA", at positions 28 to 396 of the family's 1533-position model. The record is from RNAcentral.
GACGAACGCUGGCGGCGUGCUUAACACAUGCAAGUCGAGCGGUAAGGCCCUUUCGGGGGUACACGAGCGGCGAACGGGUGAGUAACACGUGGGUGACCUGCCCUCAGCUCUGGGAUAAGGCCUGGGAAACCGGGUCUAAUACUGGAUAUGACUCCAUGACGCAUGGUUGGUGGGGUGGAAAGCCUUGUGCGGCUGAGGAUGGGCCCGCGGCCUAUCAGCUUGGUUGGUGGGGUGANGGCCUACCAAGGCGACGACGGUAGCCGGCCUGAGAGGGCGACCGGCCACACUGGGACUGAGACACGGCCCAGACUCCUACGGGAGCAGCAGUGGGAAUCUUGCGCAAUGGGCGAAAGCCUGACGCAGCGACG